GAAUUGACGGGGGCCCGCACAAGCAGUGGAGCAUGUGGUUUAAUUCGAAGCAACGCGAAGAACCUUACCAGGGCUUGACAUCCCUCUGACCGGUGUAGAGAUACACCUUCCCUUCGGGGCAGGGGAGACAGGUGGUGCAUGGUUGUCGUCAGCUCGUGUCGUGAGAUGUUGGGUUAAGUCCCGCAACGAGCGCAACCCUUGUCGUUAGUUGCCAUCAUUAAGUUGGGCACUCUAACGAGACUGCCGGUGACAAAUCGGAGGAAGGUGGGGACGACGUCAAAUCAUCAUGCCCCUUAUGUCCUGGGCUACACACGUACUACAAUGGCGACUACAGAGGGCAGCAACAUCGCGAGGUAGAGCAAAUCCCCAAAAGUCGCCCCAGUUCGGAUUGCAGGCUGAAACUCGCCUGCAUGAAGUCGGAAUUGCUAGUAAUGGCAGGUCAGCAUACUGCCGUGAAUACGUUCCCGGGCCUUGUACACACCG
Molecule: ribosomal RNA, 483 nt
Filed under: uncultured Clostridium sp.
Lineage: Bacteria; Bacillati; Bacillota; Clostridia; Eubacteriales; Clostridiaceae
Description: bacterial SSU rRNA
Rfam family: Bacterial small subunit ribosomal RNA
Source: RNAcentral